UAUAAGGGAGUUUGAGUUUUUACUUGUAAUGUUUGAUCACUCGUCUUAUUCAAAAUUUUUUGAAAUUAUUAAUUACUUUAUAUGUGACUUACUUUAUUAUCUAUAGUACUUUAAGCACAACUUUUCAUUUUUUAUAUUUGCAAAAAAAAAAUUAAAUAAGACGAGUGGUCAAACGUUGCAAGAAAAAACUGAAAAUCCCUUAUA
This 204-nucleotide microRNA precursor is filed under the name Oryza nivara. Its description in RNAcentral is "MIR812 microRNA precursor family". It matches the Rfam family "MIR812 microRNA precursor family". The record is from Rfam by way of RNAcentral. Lineage: Eukaryota; Viridiplantae; Streptophyta; Magnoliopsida; Poales; Poaceae.